Molecule: ribosomal RNA, 512 nt
Filed under: uncultured bacterium
Lineage: Bacteria
Description: bacterial SSU rRNA
Rfam family: Bacterial small subunit ribosomal RNA
Source: RNAcentral
CUGGCGGCGUGCCUAAUACAUGCAAGUCGAACGCACUCUCGUUUAGAUUGAAGGAGCUUGCUCCUGAUUGAUAAACAUUUGAGUGAGUGGCGGACGGGUGAGUAACACGUGGGUAACCUGCCCUAAAGUGGGGGAUAACAUUUGGAAACAGAUGCUAAUACCGCAUAAAACCUAACACCGCAUGGUGUAGGGUUGAAAGAUGGUUUCGGCUAUCACUUUAGGAUGGACCCGCGGUGCAUUAGUUAGUUGGUGAGGUAAAGGCUCACCAAGACCGUGAUGCAUAGCCGACCUGAGAGGGUAAUCGGCCACACUGGGACUGAGACACGGCCCAGACUCCUACGGGAGGCAGCAGUAGGGAAUCUUCCACAAUGGACGAAAGUCUGAUGGAGCAACGCCGCGUGAGUGAAGAAGGUUUUCGGAUCGUAAAACUCUGUUGUUGGAGAAGAAUGUAUCUGAUAGUAACUGAUCAGGUAGUGACGGUAUCCAACCAGAAAGCCACGGCUAACUACGUG